UACGUAGGGUGCGAGCGUUGCCCGGAUUUAUUGGGCGUAAAGGGCUCGUAGGCGGUUUGUUGCGUCGGGAGUGAAAACACUGGGCUUAACCGAGUGCUUGCUUUCGAUACGGGCAGACUUGAGGCAUUGAGGGGAGAACGGAAUUCCUGGUGUAGCGGUGAAAUGCGCAGAUAUCAGGAGGAACACCGGUGGCGAAGGCGGUUCUCUGGCAAUGUUCUGACGCUGAGGAGCGAAAGUGUGGGGAGGCGAACAGG
Molecule: ribosomal RNA, 254 nt
Filed under: uncultured bacterium
Lineage: Bacteria
Description: partial 16S ribosomal RNA
Rfam family: Bacterial small subunit ribosomal RNA
Source: RNAcentral